This 415-nucleotide ribosomal RNA is filed under the name uncultured bacterium. Its description in RNAcentral is "bacterial SSU rRNA". It matches the Rfam family "Bacterial small subunit ribosomal RNA", at positions 355 to 761 of the family's 1533-position model. The record is from RNAcentral.
UCGGGAAUUUUGGGCAAUGGGCGAAAGCCUGACGCAGUAACGCCGCGUGGAGGAUGAAGGCCUUCGGGUUGUAAACUCCUGUCAGGAGGAACGACGGGGGUAGGAUGAAUAAUUCUAUCUCCCAGACGGUACCUCCAAAGGAAGCCCCGGCUAAUUCCGUGCCAGCAGCCGCGGUAAUACGGAAGGGGCAAGCGUUGUUCGGAAUCAUUGGGCGUAAAGGGCGCGUAGGUGGUCUUGUGUGUCUAUCGUGAAAGCACACGGCUCAACCGUGUAAAGUCGGUGGAAACUGCAGGACUUGAGGUUGGGAGGGGCUGGUGGAAUUCCCUGUGUAGCGGUGAAAUGCGUAGAGAUGGGGGAGAACACUUGUGGCGAAGGCGGCCAGCUGGUUGGAUACUGACGCUGAGACGCGAAAGCG